ACGGGGUGCAGCAGGCGCGAGACCUCCGCAAUGUGAGACAUCACGACGGGGGGACCCCAAGUGCCAUUCUUAACGGGAUGGCUUCUCUUAAGUGUAAAAAGCUUUUGGAAUAAGAGCUGGGCAAGACCGGUGCCAGCCGCCGCGGUAACACCGGCAGCUCUAGUGGUGGCCAUUUUUAUUGGGCCUAAAGCGUUCGUAGCCGGUUUAAUAAGUCUCUGGUGAAAUCCUGUAGCUUAACUGCGGGACUUGCUGGGGAUACUAUUAGACUUGAGGUCGGGAGAGGUUAGAGGUACUCCCAGGGUAGGGGUGAAAUCCUGUAAUCCUGGGAGGACCACCUGUGGCGAAGGCGUCUAACUGGAACGAACCUGACGGUGAGGGACGAAAGCCAGGGGCGCGAACCGGAUUAGAUACCCGGGUAGUCCUGGCCGUAAACGAUGCGGACUUGGUGUUGGGAUGACUUUGGGUUGUUUCAGUGCCGAAGGGAAGCUGUUAAGUCCGCCGCCU
Molecule: ribosomal RNA, 504 nt
Filed under: uncultured archaeon
Lineage: Archaea
Description: bacterial SSU rRNA
Rfam family: Archaeal small subunit ribosomal RNA
Source: RNAcentral